The sequence is a transfer RNA, 75 nucleotides long. It matches the Rfam family "tRNA". From Rfam's summary of the family: Transfer RNA (tRNA) molecules are approximately 80 nucleotides in length. Their secondary structure includes four short double-helical elements and three loops (D, anti-codon, and T loops).
GCCGCCAUCGUCUAGUGGCUAGGACAUCAGGUUUUCAUCCUGAAAACCGGGGUUCAAUUCCCCGUGGCGGUACCA